UACGUAGGGUGCGAGCGUUGUCCGGAAUUAUUGGGCGUAAAGGGCUCGUAGGCGGUUUGUCGCGUCGGGAGUGAAAUCCACUGGCUUAACUGGUGGCUUGCUUUCGAUACGGGCAGACUGGAGGUAUGCAGGGGAGAACGGAAUUCCUGGUGUAGCGGUGAAAUGCGUAGAUAUCAGGAGGAACACCGGUGGUGUAAACGGCUUUCUGGACCAUAACUGACGCUGAGGCACGAAAGCGUGGGUAGCAAACAGG
Molecule: ribosomal RNA, 253 nt
Filed under: uncultured bacterium
Lineage: Bacteria
Description: partial 16S ribosomal RNA
Rfam family: Bacterial small subunit ribosomal RNA
Source: RNAcentral